RNAcentral lists this ribosomal RNA (460 nucleotides) under uncultured bacterium. Its description in RNAcentral is "SSU rRNA". It matches the Rfam family "Bacterial small subunit ribosomal RNA", at positions 26 to 518 of the family's 1533-position model. The record is from RNAcentral.
AGAAUCAACGCUGGCGGCGUGCCUAACACAUGCAAGUCGAACGAGAAAAGGGAGCAAUCCCUGAGUACAGUGGCGACCGGGUGAGUAACACGUGACUAACCUACCCUCGAGUGUGGAAUAACAUCGGGAAACCGAUGCUAAUACCGCAUAACAUCGCAAGAUCAAAGGAGUAAUCCGCUUGAGGAGGGGGUCGCGGCUGAUUAGCUAGUUGACGGGGUAAUGGCCCACCAAGGCGAAGAUCGGUAUCCGGCCUGAGAGGGCGCACGGACACACUGGAACUGAAACACGGUCCAGACUCCUACGGGAGGCAGCAGUGGGGAAUUUUGCGCAAUGGGGGAAACCCUGACGCAGCAACGCCGCGUGGAGGAUGAAGCCCCUUGGGGCGUAAACUCCUUUCGACCAAGACGAUUAUGACGGUACUGGUGGAAGAAGCACCGGCUAACUCUGCGCCAGCAGCCGC